GACGAACGCUGGCGGCGUGCCUAAUACAUGCAAGUAGAACGCUGAAGGAGGAGCUUGCUUCUCUGGAUGAGUUGCGAACGGGUGAGUAACGCGUAGGUAACCUGCCUGGUAGCGGGGGAUAACUAUUGGAAACGAUAGCUAAUACCGCAUAAUAGCAGUUGUUGCAUGACAACUGUUUGAAAGGUGCAAUUGCACCACUACCAGAUGGACCUGCGUUGUAUUAGCUAGUUGGUGGGGCAACGGCUCACCAAGGCGACGAUACAUAGCCGACCUGAGAGGGUGAUCGGCCACACUGGGACUGAGACACGGCCCAGACUCCUACGGGAGGCAGCAGUAGGGAAUCUUCGGCAAUGGACGGAAGUCUGACCGAGCAACGCCGCGUGAGUGAAGAAGGUUUUCGGAUCGUAAAGCUCUGUUGUAAGAGAAGAACGAGUGUGAGAGUGGAAAGUUCACACUGUGACGGUAUCUUACCAGAAAGGGACGGCUAACUACGUG
Molecule: ribosomal RNA, 495 nt
Filed under: uncultured bacterium
Lineage: Bacteria
Description: partial 16S ribosomal RNA
Rfam family: Bacterial small subunit ribosomal RNA
Source: RNAcentral